This 66-nucleotide transfer RNA is filed under the name Rhipidia chenwenyoungi. RNAcentral's name for it is "tRNA-Leu". The record is from RNAcentral. Lineage: Eukaryota; Metazoa; Arthropoda; Insecta; Diptera; Limoniidae.
AUUAUUUUGGCAGAUUAGUGCAAUAAAUUUAGAAUUUAAAAAUGUAAUUUUUUUUUACAAAUAAUA